ACGUGGAAGAGAUGAGGUUCUAAAGGCGCUGAGAUGGAGCUGGCUCCCCAGAGGCGCCCACACUGCCAGCGAAGGCCGCCAUCGGAGGGUGUUUAAAAAGUGGGUGUGCCUUCUCCACAUUGCCUAGCUGGAAGCAGAGGACUUGGAGGCCCUAAGUGAAUGGUGAAGCCACAAGAUAAAAGAAACCUGGGCCCCUACUUCACCUUGAGAAAUAAAGUCACUGUCUGACCAGGACAUUGGACUGCUGCAUCAGUGAAUAAUAAACUUAACUGAUUGUGUUAAGCCCCUGCAA
Non-coding RNA from Macaca mulatta (Rhesus monkey), 292 nucleotides. Lineage: Eukaryota; Metazoa; Chordata; Mammalia; Primates; Cercopithecidae. The record is from RefSeq and is a predicted model, not a curated record.